AGUUGCUUCCUGGCUGCUUUACGGUCGAUUUGCAGGCAGUCCGCUUUGUACAAGCCAUGGUAUAGAGGCUUCCUUAUUUACCUCCCUUAUCCUUCAGCUGGAGCUCUGCGAGCCAGAGGCAGCGCUGGCGUUGGAGAGUGAUGGCGGCAUGGCGGUGCGGCGGCGGCUGCGAACACCUUGAGGACGGGUCGCAUUAUGUUGCCCAGGCUGGACUUGAACUUCUGGGCUCGAGCAAUUCUCCCACCUCAGCCUACCAAGCAGCUGGGACUACAGGUCUGCACCACUGCACCCCACCCAUUCAAGUCCACAUCCCCAGAAACGAGGAUAAUGCUUGGCACAAGGGUCUUGCUCUGUUGCCCUGGCUGGAGUGCGGUGGCAUGAUCUUGGCUUACUGCAACCUUCGCCUCCUGGGUUCAAGUGAUUCUCCUGCCUCAGCCUCCCGAGUAGCUGGGAUUACAGGCAUGUGCCAUCAUGCCAUCACCCCUGGCUAAUUUUUGUAUUUUUAGUAGAGAUAGGGUCUCACCAUGUUGGCCAGGCUGGUGUCAUGUCUCUUUAGUUUCCUUCAAUGCUUAGUUUUUUCCUCAUUUUUCAUGAUCUUGCCAUUUUUGAAAAGGAUAGGUCAGUUAUUUUAUAGUAUUUCCCUCAAUUUGGGUUUGUCUGAUGUUUCUUCAUGUCUAGAUUCAGAGUAUGGAUUUUUGGUAAGAAUGCUAUAGAAGCAAUACGAUUUUCCUCUCAAUGCCUCACAUUAGGAAGCACAAAAUACCAAUUUUCCUCAUUAAUAAUGAUAGUAACUUUUUUCACACUGUUAAGAUGAUGUUUAUAUUUCUCCACUGUAGAGUUCAUUAAUAACAGAUAUUUUAUUGAGCUUUACUUUUAAAUUUUAUACAUAUGUAUCUUUUUUUCAUCAAAAUUUUAAUGAGCUUAACAUCUAUGGAUAAUUCUUGUCUGAAUAAUUUAUUACAGCAGUGGUUGCUGAGUGUUAUUUUCUAAUUCUUUUUUUUCCUUUUUUGAGAUGGAGUCUCACUGUGAUGCCGAGGGUGGAGUGCAGUGGCACAAUCUCAGCUCACUGCAACCUCCGUUUCCUGGGUUCGAGUGAUUCUCCUGCCUCAGCCUCCUGAAUAGCUGGGAUUACAGGCACCUGUCACCAUGCCUGGCUAAUUUUUGUAUUUUUAGUAGAGAUGGAGUUUUACUAUGUUGGCCAGGCUUGUCUCAAACUCCUGGCCUUAAGUGAUCUGCCCAUCUCAGCGACCCAAAGUGCUGGGAUUACAGGUGUGAGCCACCAUGCCCGGCCUUGUUAUUUUCUAAUUUGAUCAUUUCUUGUACAUUUAUUAGUUGGCAUUGUACUAUAAGAUAGAUCUUUUCUUUGAAUAUCAGUAUGGGCUUAUGGAUUCUUAUUUUAUUGAAUCAGUUAUGCUCUAUUAUUAUCCUUAACUAUUACUUAUUACAGCUUUAUUGAUGUAUAUUUGACAUACAAGAAAUUGCAUAUACAUAAAGUGAAAAGUUUGAAGAAUUUUGUGUACCUAUAAAGUGAAUAAACUGUUACACUAAUCAGUGAAAUAAAUAUUUUCAUUAAUCCCUAAAA
Molecule: long non-coding RNA, 1582 nt
Organism: Homo sapiens (human)
Lineage: Eukaryota; Metazoa; Chordata; Mammalia; Primates; Hominidae
Product: long intergenic non-protein coding RNA 1205
Source: Ensembl